GUAGGUGGCAAGCGUUGUCCGGAAUUAUUGGGCGUAAAGCGCGCGCAGGCGGUUCUUUAAGUCUGAUGUGAAAGCCCACGGCUCAACCGUGGAGGGUCAUUGGAAACUGGAGAACUUGAGUACAGAAGAGGAAAGCGGAAUUCCACGUGUAGGCGGUGAAAUGCGUAGAGAUGUGGAGGAACACCAGUGGCGAAGGCGGCUUUCUGGUCUGUAACUGACGCUGAGGCGCGAAAGCGUGGGGAGCAAACAGGGAUUAGAUACCCUGGUAGUCCACGCCGUAAACGAUGAGUGCUAAGUGUUAGGGGGGUUUCCGCCCCCUUAGUGCUGCAGCUAACGCAUUAAGCACUCCGCCUGGGGAGUACGGCCGCAAGGCUG
This 375-nucleotide ribosomal RNA is filed under the name uncultured organism. RNAcentral's name for it is "partial 16S ribosomal RNA". It matches the Rfam family "Bacterial small subunit ribosomal RNA", at positions 527 to 896 of the family's 1533-position model. The record is from RNAcentral.